This 465-nucleotide ribosomal RNA is filed under the name uncultured bacterium. RNAcentral's name for it is "partial 16S ribosomal RNA". It matches the Rfam family "Bacterial small subunit ribosomal RNA", at positions 28 to 507 of the family's 1533-position model. The record is from RNAcentral.
GACGAACGCUGGCGGCGUGCUUAACACAUGCAAGUCGAACGGAAAGGCCCUGCUUGCAGGGUACUCGAGUGGCGAACGGGUGAGUAACACGUGGGUGAUCUGCCCUGCACUUCGGGAUAAGCCUGGGAAACUGGGUCUAAUACCGGAUAGGAGCCAUUUUUAGUGUGAUGGUUGGAAAGUUUUUUCGGUGUAGGAUGAGCUCGCGGCCUAUCAGCUUGUUGGUGGGGUAAUGGCCUACCAAGGCGGCGACGGGUAGCCGGCCUGAGAGGGUGGACGGCCACAUUGGGACUGAGAUACGGCCCAGACUCCUACGGGAGGCAGCAGUGGGGAAUAUUGCACAAUGGGCGCAAGCCUGAUGCAGCGACGCCGCGGGGGGGAUGACGGCCUUCGGGUUGUAAACUCAUUUCGCUAGGGACGAAGCUUUUUGUGACGGUACCUAGAUAAGAAGCACCGGCUAACUACGUG